GCUAUGAUGAUUUGAAAUCAAAAUGAUAAAAAUGAUUACAGCAAGUUAAGCCCUCUAAGAAGAUCUGAGCAA
This is a small nucleolar RNA of Stegodyphus dumicola, 72 nucleotides long. RefSeq annotates it as small nucleolar RNA SNORD61. NCBI's taxonomy places the organism in Eukaryota, Metazoa, Arthropoda, Arachnida, Araneae, Eresidae. The record is from RefSeq and is a predicted model, not a curated record.